UGCUCCAUUAACACGAAAAAGCAAUUAUUCCACGCACGGUAGUAGCUAUCUCACUAAGUGUCCACCUGGAGCCCACUUAGUCUUGCAUGCCCAGCCAUCAUGUUGAAGCUAUCGCUAAUUCUCCUCUCAGCUGGUCAGAAGUACUUCGGGUUUCUGCUACCAGUUGCAGGGCUGCCGCAGUACGUCCCACCGUUGGGGCGCCCAGCUGUUCAGCACAGGGCAGCGGAAGCUCUAGCGUCUCCUGCUGACUAUCCGUACUCGCCUCGGUAUGAACCAGAGCUAACACGAGUUUUGUGCGAAAGAAGAUCAGCGGAUAAGUCGGAUGAGUAUUGUGCCGGAAUCUGUCGGAUGCUUCAGAUGGGCAAGUCCGGUUCUUGCGAUGGCAGAUGGCACGUGUGCAUUUGUUGGAAAAUAAAGCACGUGUUUUAAAUGGAA
Long non-coding RNA from Ornithodoros turicata, 435 nucleotides. RefSeq lists it as uncharacterized. NCBI's taxonomy places the organism in Eukaryota, Metazoa, Arthropoda, Arachnida, Ixodida, Argasidae. The transcript has 2 exons. The record is from RefSeq and is a predicted model, not a curated record.